This 491-nucleotide long non-coding RNA is filed under the name Oncorhynchus kisutch (coho salmon). RNAcentral describes it as "lncRNA (ENSOKIG00005045725.1)". The record is from RNAcentral. Lineage: Eukaryota; Metazoa; Chordata; Actinopteri; Salmoniformes; Salmonidae.
UCCUCUUUUCUGCCAAUCAAGCAAAGAUGAGGACAACACCCAAACUGGCACGAUAACAGCGCCGUAUAAGAAGAGGACCCAAUUGUUCCAAAAGGCCCUGAUUUUGCUCCGCCGCGGUCCGCGCGGAGGCUGCCGCAGCUGUGGACAGCAACAGGUGUUUUACCUACCAUGGUUGUGAUAAUUGGAUUUUCUGGACACCUGUAUGAGUGCAGUAUAUCCAGCGGAUUAUAACCAGGGAGAGGGGUAGGCUGCCCGGCCGGCCAGGCCCAGCCAGCAGGAACUUCCCAUGGCCACCUCCGCUCUGCUCCGAGGGACUGAGAAUACGUAAUGAGUUGCAGGGCUCCACAUUUACCACGGCUGAUCAGCUGAGAACAAUGAACUCGCGGGCACACAAUAGUGACUAGAGAGCCUCAAGGCAUUGUCUCUGUAUUUUUAGAAGGGGGAGAAAACGAGAGAGCCAGAGAAAGAGGAGAAUGGAGGGGAGAAAAGUG